Etheostoma spectabile (orangethroat darter) is the source of this 133-nucleotide long non-coding RNA. RefSeq lists it as uncharacterized. The record is from RefSeq and is a predicted model, not a curated record. NCBI's taxonomy places the organism in Eukaryota, Metazoa, Chordata, Actinopteri, Perciformes, Percidae. The transcript is spliced from 3 exons.
ACUGUAGGGCUGCUCUCUCUAAGUCAAUUAGUCGACUAAUCGCUCGUUUUGGUCUUAGUUGACUAAGAUUUUUUCUUUUUCAAGUCAAUUAGUUAUUUUUUAUGUUUUUUUUCAUGCUGAAUGACUUAUUUCC